GGCCUUGUCUGCAAUGAACCAACUAGUUUGUAGACCAAGAGAUGGCGUCAGGAUAUCUGUUAGGUUGACCCUGUCAACUCACAUAGGACAGGGAAGUUGAAAACUGUAAAGGAUGAAGUUACCACAGGGGCUUUUAGGGGAGAAGGAGAGAGGCAGCUGCAUCGAGGAGGAGAUAAAAGGUCCAGUCUGAAUAAACCAUUAUCCUGCAAACAGUGCACAGUUGAAGUCUUCUCCCUCGUCCUGCAAAGAAGAAAGUGUGAAUCCGAUAAACAAGUAACUUCCUGAACCCUAAGAAAGCGUGAUUGUCGGUUGUGUUGAUUAUUUAGGAAGAUUACAAACCAGAAGAUGAGGAAGACGAUGGUGAGAAAAGCUGGGUCUUAAGCUUAGGCUGCUGGGUUUUCAUGAUCAGGUUCCGCCACCUCUUCUAAUUAAUUUAUCUUCUUCAUUGUUUUUGUAACUAUCACUUGAUCAAUUUUGAUGUUUAGCUCUUUGUUUUUGAUGGGUAGCAUAGUUUGCUUUUGAUUACAUGAGGCAUUUGUACGUUUUGAGUGAAUGAGUAUUGACCAAUGUGGGUUGUCAAUUUUUUUGAUAUCCUUACAAUUCCUGGGAAUUCUCACCGCUAUUGAAUCCCAGAGCAAGUCAUUAAAACUCUUUUUAAUCCCAUUUUUAACAAACCACCCCGGAAAUUCUCACUUUGCUUACAUAUGCCAAGUUAUAGGUCCCAGAGCUGCAAUCAAAAUCAAAGGCAGUUGGUUCUUUCCCAAAGAAGAGGAAAAUCAGACACUUUAAGGAAACUCUAUAAGCUGAGAUUAAGAUGCUCAGGAAGAAGCUGACCUUUAAAGCAACUCCAAUUCCUAAUGCUGAUCCUAUUUCUAAUAUCUCUAGGUAGUUGUUCAAGUCGGUAGCACCUGUUGAGUUUAAGGGUCUGUAGAUUCUGCAGUUUGCUGAUAGAAGCAGGGAGUGCUAUCACACUAACAUUAGCAGAGAGGUCAAGGUACAUAAGAUGGGUCAACUUGCCUAGGCUCAUCAAUUCUUAGGUUAUGUAGAUCUAACACACGCAAGCACCUCAAGUUUGAAAUGAUUGUAUUGUGACGAUGCUUGAUCCUGAAGUGGUAAUGCUGAUUUCAAUUUCACAUUGGUUAACUUUUUGUCAAAUCAAUUUUAUGGACCAUUUGAUUGUUCUUUUUCUUCAA
Long non-coding RNA from Rosa chinensis, 1193 nucleotides. RefSeq lists it as uncharacterized. The transcript is spliced from 3 exons. The record is from RefSeq and is a predicted model, not a curated record. Lineage: Eukaryota; Viridiplantae; Streptophyta; Magnoliopsida; Rosales; Rosaceae.